RNAcentral lists this ribosomal RNA (254 nucleotides) under uncultured bacterium. Its description in RNAcentral is "partial 16S ribosomal RNA". It matches the Rfam family "Bacterial small subunit ribosomal RNA", at positions 1247 to 1500 of the family's 1533-position model. The record is from RNAcentral.
AAGCGAAAUAGUGAUAUAGAGCAAAACCCUAAAAACGGUACUCAGUUCGGAUUGAAGGCUGAAAUUCGCCUUCAUGAAGCUGGAAUUGCUAGUAAUGGCAGGUCAGCAUACUGCCGUGAAUACGUUCCCGGGCCUUGUACACACCGCCCGUCACACCAUGAGAGUUGGGAAUACCCGAAGCCUGUGAGCUAACUGUAAGGAGGCAGCAGUCGAAGGUAGAAUCAAUGAUUGGGGUGAAGUCGUAACAAGGUAAC